RNAcentral lists this microRNA (22 nucleotides) under Spodoptera frugiperda (fall armyworm). RNAcentral describes it as "sfr-miR-13a-5p". Its record names the gene sfr-miR-13a-5p. Lineage: Eukaryota; Metazoa; Arthropoda; Insecta; Lepidoptera; Noctuidae. The record is from miRBase by way of RNAcentral.
CUGUCAAAGCGGCGGUGAAAUG